CUGGCUCAGGAUGAACGCUGGCGGCGUGCUUAACACAUGCAAGUCGAACGAAGCUCCUAAACCUGAGAUUCGUCAAGGGCGAGGGAUGACUAGUGGCGGACGGGUGAGUAAUGCGUGAGCAACCUGCCCUUCAGAGGGGGACAACAGCUGGAAACGGCUGCUAAUACCGCAUAAAGUACAGAUGAGGCAUCUCGACUGUACCAAAGAUUUAUCGCUGAAGGAUGGGCUCACGUCUGAUUAGCUAGUUGGUGAGGUAAUGGCUCACCAAGGCUGCGAUCAGUAGCCGGACUGAGAGGUUGGCCGGCCACAUUGGGACUGAGAUACGGCCCAGACUCCUACGGGAGGCAGCAGUGGGGAAUAUUGGGCAAUGGGCGCAAAGCCUGACCCAGCAACGCCGCGUGAAGGAAGAAGGCUUUCGGGUUGUAAACUUCUUUUGGCAGGGACGAAGAAAGUGACGGUACCUGCAGAAUAAGCUCCGGCUAACUACGUGCCAGCCGCGGC
Molecule: ribosomal RNA, 501 nt
Filed under: uncultured bacterium
Lineage: Bacteria
Description: bacterial SSU rRNA
Rfam family: Bacterial small subunit ribosomal RNA
Source: RNAcentral